UACGCAGGGGGCAAGCGUUGUCCGGAAUUACUGGGCGUAAAGGGAGCGCAGGCGGUCCUUUAAGUUAGAUGUGAAAUACCCGGGCUUAACUUGGGAGGUGCAUCUAAAACUGGGGGACUUGAGUGCAGGAGAGGAAAGUGGAAUUCCUAGUGUAGCGGUGAAAUGCGUAGAUAUUAGGAGGAACACCAGUGGCGAAGGCGACUUUCUGGACUGUAACUGACGCUGAGGCUCGAAAGCGUGGGGAGCAAACAGG
Molecule: ribosomal RNA, 253 nt
Filed under: uncultured bacterium
Lineage: Bacteria
Description: partial 16S ribosomal RNA
Rfam family: Bacterial small subunit ribosomal RNA
Source: RNAcentral